GACGAACACUGGCGGCGUGCUUAACACAUGCAAGUCGAACGAAGAGCGAUGGAAGCUUGCUUCUAUCAAUCUUAGUGGCGAACGGGUGAGUAACGCGUAAUCAACCUGCCCUUCAGAGGGGGACAACAGUUGGAAACGACUGCUAAUACCGCAUACGAUCUAAUCUCGGCAUCGAGGAUAGAUGAAAGGUGGCCUCUACAUGUAAGCUAUCACUGAAGGAGGGGAUUGCGUCUGAUUAGCUAGUUGGAGGGGUAACGGCCCACCAAGGCGAUGAUCAGUAGCCGGUCUGAGAGGAUGAACGGCCACAUUGGGACUGAGACACGGCCCAGACUCCUACGGGAGGCAGCAGUGGGGAAUCUUCCGCAAUGGACGAAAGUCUGACGGAGCAACGCCGCGUGAGCGAUGACGGCCUUCGGGUUGUAAAGCUCUGUUAAUCGGGACGAAAGGCCUUCUUGCGAAUAGGGAGAAGGAUUGACGGUACCGGAAGAGAAAGCCACGGCUAACUACGUG
This 510-nucleotide ribosomal RNA is filed under the name uncultured bacterium. RNAcentral's name for it is "partial 16S ribosomal RNA". It matches the Rfam family "Bacterial small subunit ribosomal RNA", at positions 28 to 507 of the family's 1533-position model. The record is from RNAcentral.